UACAGAGGUCUCAAGCGUUGUUCGGAUUCAUUGGGCGUAAAGGGUGCGUAGGCGGCGAAGCAAGUCUGAUGUGAAAUCCCCGGGGCUCAACCCCGGAACUGCAUUGGAUACUGCUUUGCUAGAGUACUGGAGAGGAGACUGGAAUUUACGGUGUAGCAGUGAAAUGCGUAGAUAUCGUAAGGAAGACCAGUGGCGAAGGCGAGUCUCUGGACAGUUACUGAGCUCAGGCGCGACAGCGUGGGGAUCAAACAGG
Molecule: ribosomal RNA, 253 nt
Filed under: uncultured bacterium
Lineage: Bacteria
Description: partial 16S ribosomal RNA
Rfam family: Bacterial small subunit ribosomal RNA
Source: RNAcentral